RNAcentral lists this long non-coding RNA (258 nucleotides) under Lathyrus oleraceus (garden pea). RNAcentral describes it as "Pisum sativum (pea) long non-coding RNA (PSAT_LNC007990)". The record is from RNAcentral. Lineage: Eukaryota; Viridiplantae; Streptophyta; Magnoliopsida; Fabales; Fabaceae.
UUGAAUUAUGGUGAUAUGUGGAAUGUAAAGAUGGUAGAGAUGAUCUUAAUUGCAUAUGUAUUGGUAUUUGUACAUUCAUUCAUGGCAUGGUCGGCUUCAUUGUGGAAGCGGUGAAACUGUGGGUUCACAUGGUAUUAGACGUUGAUCCUUAAUUGGAAAUAGGUGUAGCAGACGUUGAUCCUUAAUUGGAAAUAGGCGUGGUAAAUAGACGUUGAUCCUUAAUUGGAAAUAGGUGUAGCAGACGUUGAUCCAUAAUUG